CCCCUUCUUUAAUCAUGUGAACCAUCUCUCCAGAGCCAGGAGAAGAAACACAUCAUUCAGGAAAAUGGACAGCCACAUUUUCUUUCAAGCUGAGCUGUUUCUCGUGGGUUUCUUGACAUGAGGCAAUGGCCAACAGGAAAUAUAGAACCAUCUUCUGCCCAAUACAUGGGUAUCAGACUUGGUACCAGGAUAUACAGGAACUCCAAUUGUUACAAGAACCAACUGAUCCUGA
This is a long non-coding RNA of Cebus imitator (Panamanian white-faced capuchin), 232 nucleotides long. RefSeq lists it as uncharacterized. The transcript has 3 exons. NCBI's taxonomy places the organism in Eukaryota, Metazoa, Chordata, Mammalia, Primates, Cebidae. The record is from RefSeq and is a predicted model, not a curated record.